RNAcentral lists this long non-coding RNA (606 nucleotides) under Cicer arietinum (chickpea). RNAcentral's name for it is "long non-coding RNA (CARI_LNC001196)". The record is from RNAcentral. Lineage: Eukaryota; Viridiplantae; Streptophyta; Magnoliopsida; Fabales; Fabaceae.
GAUGGUUAACUUUAGGAAUUAGAGACAAAAAAGCUACAUAAAUUGCUUCCAAAAUUUCUAGAUGUAGGUUUUCUUAAUUAUGUGUCUGCAAUAUUACCAUAUGAAGCAGUCAAUGUGUCUAAAAAAUUCAGAUCUGCUACAAUAUUUCCAUCUUCAAAUCUAGCCAUCCGAACAUAUCCUUGUUCCAUUGUCGGAGUCUUUCUUUGAUCACUUUUGAUUUUUCCUUCAGAAUGAAACCCUUUCUACUGUGACAUUAAAACUUUUCCAACAACCUUCCACAAAUUUUUCAGAAAAUCCUAGUGUUCAAUCCAACAGUUGUUGAAUAUAAAUGGUUUUGAUCCCCAAAUAAUAGUAUAACUUUUCAACCAAAUUGGACAGUGAUCAGAGAUGUCUCUAUCACCAACCUAUUGCCCCACCACCUUCAGCAUAUCCACUGUAUCCUUUGAUUAAAAAAAUCGGUCCAACCUACCCAUAGAUUGAUCGUCUGUGCUGAACCAAGUGAACCAUUUUCCCAAAAGAGGGACAUCUAUUAAUUUAGUUUCUUCAAUGAACUACUUGAAUUCUACUUUCUUUGCCCUUCUCAACUAAUUGUGUGUUCCUUUUCUC